ACUACAAUAAAAGGUCCCGCCUGCCCUGUGACUAGAUGCUUUAACGGCCGCGGUAUUUUGACCGUGCGGAAGGUACCGCAAUCUCUUGUCUUUUAAAUGGAGACCUGUAUGAAUGGCACAACGAGGGCUUAACUGUCUCCUUUCUUCCAGUCAAUGAAAUUGAUCUCCCGCGAUGACAGCAAGCCGGGGGCAUAUCUUACAUAAGACAAGAAGACCCUAAGGAGCUUUAGACACAAUAGCUCACCACGUUAAUCACCCCUAAACAAAGGACUAAACAAUAUUGAAACCCGCCCUAAUGUCUUGGGUUGGGGCGACCACAGAGAAAUAAAAAACCCCCGCGUGGAACAGGGGAUACUAUCUCCCACAAUCACUACCUCCCGCUCUACUAAACAGAACCUCUGACCAAUCAAAUCCGGCAAUGCCGAUUAGACGGCACCAAGUUACCCUAGGGAUAACAGCGCACUCCCCGUUUUAGAGCCCAUAUCGACUAGGGGGUUUACGACCUCGAUGUUGGAUCAGGACAUCCUAAUGGUGCAGCCGCUAUUAAGGGUUCGUUUGUUCAACGAUGAAAGUCCUACUUGAUCUGAUUUCACAACCGGAGAUCUGAGUUCAGACCGG
This 618-nucleotide ribosomal RNA is filed under the name Acanthurus xanthopterus (yellowfin surgeonfish). RNAcentral describes it as "partial large subunit ribosomal RNA". It matches the Rfam family "Bacterial large subunit ribosomal RNA", at positions 1838 to 2639 of the family's 2925-position model. The record is from RNAcentral. Lineage: Eukaryota; Metazoa; Chordata; Actinopteri; Acanthuriformes; Acanthuridae.